GGGAGGAGUGGCUGGGGGAAGAUGUUUGAAACUGAGGUGAGGAAUUUGGGACUCUACCCAGCCCCUUAAACGGGUCUUUCUUUGGAGAUUGCCAUUUGAGGACACCUUCUACAUCUGAGAAAACGUGCAUUGGUUUUGCAGCAUUUUUCUCCUCCAAAUAAAGGUCAGUAAGCUAACAGCUACACUGUAAGAAGUGAGUUUAUGGAUAGUGUUAACCACCUUAU
Molecule: long non-coding RNA, 224 nt
Filed under: Aotus nancymaae (Ma's night monkey)
Lineage: Eukaryota; Metazoa; Chordata; Mammalia; Primates; Aotidae
Description: lncRNA (ENSANAG00000039007.1)
Source: RNAcentral